Molecule: ribosomal RNA, 440 nt
Filed under: uncultured bacterium
Lineage: Bacteria
Description: partial 16S ribosomal RNA
Rfam family: Bacterial small subunit ribosomal RNA
Source: RNAcentral
CCUACGGGUGGCAGCAGUGGGGAAUAUUGCACAAUGGGGGAAACCCUGAUGCAGCGACGCCGCGGGAGUGAAGAAGUAUUUCGGUAUGUAAAGCUCUAUCAGCAGGGAAGAAAAUGACGGUACCUGAUUAAGAAGCCCCGGCUAACUACGUGCCAGCAGCCGCGGUACUACGUAGGGGGCAAGCGUUAUCCGGAUUUACUGGGUGUAAAGGGAGCGUAGACGGCAGCACAAGUCUGGAGUGAAAUGCCGGGGCUUAACCCCGGAACUGCUUUGGAAACUGUGCAGCGAGAGGGCAGGAGAGGUAAGUGGAAUUCCUAGUGUAGCGGUGAAAUGCGUAGAUAUUAGGAGGAACACCAGUGGCGAAGGCGGCUUACUGGACUGUAACUGACGUUGAGGCUCGAAAGCGUGGGGAGCAAACAGGAUUAGAUACCCGGGUAGUC